GACGAACGCUGGCGGCGUGCUUAACACAUGCAAGUCGAACGGAAAGGCCCUGCUUUUGUGGGGUGCUCGAGUGGCGAACGGGUGAGUAACACGUGAGUAACCUGCCCUUGACUUUGGGAUAACUUCAGGAAACUGGGGCUAAUACCGGAUAGGAGCUCCUGCUGCAUGGUGGGGGUUGGAAAGUUUCGGCGGUUGGGGAUGGACUCGCGGCUUAUCAGCUUGUUGGUGGGGUAGUGGCUUACCAAGGCUUUGACGGGUAGCCGGCCUGAGAGGGUGACCGGCCACAUUGGGACUGAGAUACGGCCCAGACUCCUACGGGAGGCAGCAGUGGGGAAUAUUGCACAAUGGGCGGAAGCCUGAUGCAGCAACGCCGCGUGCGGGAUGACGGCCUUCGGGUUGUAAACCGCUUUCGCCUGUGACGAAGCGUGAGUGACGGUAAUGGGUAAAGAAGCACCGGCUAACUACGUGCCAGCAGCCGCGGUGAUACGUAGGGUGCGAGCGUUGUCCGGAUUUAUUGGGCGUAAAGGGCUCGUAGGUGGUUGAUCGCGUCGGAAGUGUAAUCUUGGGGCUUAACCCUGAGCGUGCUUUCGAUACGGGUUGACUUGAGGAAGGUAGGGGAGAAUGGAGUUCCUGGUGGAGCGGUGGAAUGCGCAGAUAUCAGGAGGAACACCAGUGGCGAAGGCGGUUCUCUGGGCCUUUCCUGACGCUGAGGAGCGAAAGCGUGGGGAGCGAACAGGCUUAGAUACCCUGGUAGUCCACGCUGUAAACGGUGGGUACUAGGUGUGGGGUCCAUUCCACGGGUUCCGUGCCGUAGCUAACGCUUUAAGUACCCCGCCUGGGGAGUACGGCCGCAAGGCUAAAACUCAAAGGAAUUGACGGGGCCCCGCACAAGCGGCGGAGCAUGCGGAUUAAUUCGAUGCAACGCGUAGAGCCUUACCUGGGUUUGACAUGGAUCGGGAGUGCUCAGAGAUGGGUGUGCCUCUUUUGGGGUCGGUUCACAGGUGGUGCAUGGCUGUCGUCAGCUCGUGUCGUGAGAUGUUGGGUUAAGUCCCGCAACGAGCGCAACCCUUGUUCACUGUUGCCAGCACGUUAUGGUGGGGACUCAGUGGAGACCGCCGGGGUCAACUCGGAGGAAGGUGGGGAUGACGUCAAGUCAUCAUGCCCCUUAUGUCCAGGGCUUCACGCAUGCUACAAUGGCUGGUACAGAGAGUGGCGAGCCUGUGAGGGUGAGCGAAUCUCGGAAAGCCGGUCUCAGUUCGGAUUGGGGUCUGCAACUCGACCUCAUGAAGUCGGAGUCGCUAGUAAUCGCAGAUCAGCAACGCUGCGGUGAAUACGUUCCCGGG
Molecule: ribosomal RNA, 1343 nt
Filed under: uncultured bacterium
Lineage: Bacteria
Description: 16S ribosomal RNA
Rfam family: Bacterial small subunit ribosomal RNA
Source: RNAcentral